UCCGGUUUAUCACCGGCAGUCUCCACAGAGUCCUCGGCUUUACCCGUUAGUAACUGUGAACAAGGGUUGCGCUCGUUGCGGGACUUAACCCAACAUCUCACGACACGAGCUGACGACAGCCAUGCAGCACCUGUGCACGUGCCCCGAAGGGGGGCCCGGCUUUCACCGGGCUUUCACGUGCAUGUCAAGCCUAGGUAAGGUUCUUCGCGUUGCUUCGAAUUAAUCCACAUAAUCCACCGCUUGUGCGGGUCCCCGUCAAUUCCUUUGAGUUUUAACCUUGCGGCCGUACUCCCCAGGCGGUCAACUUCACGCGUUAGCUUCGUUACCAAGGAAUUGCUUCCCCGACAACCAGUUGACAUAGUUUAGGGCGUGGACUAC
RNAcentral lists this unclassified non-coding RNA (378 nucleotides) under uncultured Gammaproteobacteria bacterium. Its description in RNAcentral is "contains 16S-23S intergenic spacer region". The record is from RNAcentral. Lineage: Bacteria; Pseudomonadati; Pseudomonadota; Gammaproteobacteria.